RNAcentral lists this ribosomal RNA (253 nucleotides) under uncultured bacterium. RNAcentral's name for it is "partial 16S ribosomal RNA". It matches the Rfam family "Bacterial small subunit ribosomal RNA", at positions 524 to 776 of the family's 1533-position model. The record is from RNAcentral.
GACGGAGGAUGCAAGCGUUAUCCGGAAUGAUUGGGCGUAAAGCGUCCGCAGGUGGCAGUUCAAGUCUGCUGUCAAAGACCGGGGCUUAACUUCGGAAAGGCAGUGGAAACUGAACAGCUAGAGUAUGGUAGGGGCAGAGGGAAUUCCUGGUGGAGCGGUGAAAUGCGUAGAGAUCGGAAAGAACACCAACGGCGAAAGCACUCUGCUGGGCCGACACUGACACUGAGAGACGAAAGCUAGGGGAGCGAAUGGG